RNAcentral lists this ribosomal RNA (509 nucleotides) under uncultured Chloroflexota bacterium. RNAcentral describes it as "bacterial SSU rRNA". It matches the Rfam family "Bacterial small subunit ribosomal RNA", at positions 37 to 556 of the family's 1533-position model. The record is from RNAcentral. Lineage: Bacteria; Bacillati; Chloroflexota.
UGGCGGCGAUGCCUUUAUGCAUGCAAGUCGNAACGGGAAAUGGNAGGCUUCGGCCUUCAUUCAAGUGGCAAACGGGUGAGUAACGCGUAAGUGACCUGCCCCGCAGCGGGGGAUAACUCUAAGAAAUUGGAGCUAAUACCGCAUGAUGCACCAAGGGUAAAUCCUUGGUGCCAAAGCCGAAAGGCGCUGUGGGAGGGGAUUGCGUCCUAUCAGGUAGUUGGUGGGGUAACUGCCUACCAAGCCGAUGACGGGUAGCUGGUCUGAGAGGAUGUCCAGCCACACUGGGAUUGAGAUACGGCCCAGACUCCUACGGGAGGCAGCAGCAAGGAAUUUUGCGCAAUGGGCGAAAGCCUGACGCAGCAACGCCGCGUGGGUGAAGAAGGCCUUCGGGUCGUAAAGCCCUUUUGCUAGGGAAGAAGAUCUGACGGUACCUANCGAAUAAGCCUCGGCUAACUACUUGCCAGCAGCCGCGGUAAUACGUUGGAGGCGAGCGUUAUCCGGAUUCAGUG